GCAAGUCGAGCGCUUUCCUUCGGGAAGGAGCGGCGGACGGGUUAGUAACGCGUGGGAACAUACCCUUUUCUAUGGAAUAGCCUUUGGAAACGAAGAGUAAUACCAUAUACGCCCUUCGGGGGAAAGAUUUAUCGGAGAAGGAUUGGCCCGCGUUAGAUGAGAGAGUGGGUGGGGUAACGGAGGACCAAGUCACCGAUCUAUAGCUGGUUUGAGAGGAUGAGC
Molecule: ribosomal RNA, 222 nt
Filed under: uncultured bacterium
Lineage: Bacteria
Description: partial 16S ribosomal RNA
Rfam family: Bacterial small subunit ribosomal RNA
Source: RNAcentral